ACUCCUACGGGAGGCAGCAGGAGGCAGCAGUAAGGAAUAUUGCGCAACGGGCGAAAGCCUGACGCAGCGACGCCGCGUGGGGGAUGAAGGUCUUCGGAUUGUAAACCCCUUUCGGGAGGGAAGAUGGAGCGAGCAAUCGUCUCGGAGCGUACCUCCCAAGCAGCCACGGCCAACUUCGUGCCACUCGCCCGCCAGCAGCCGCGGUAAU
This 208-nucleotide ribosomal RNA is filed under the name uncultured Nitrospira sp. RNAcentral describes it as "partial 16S ribosomal RNA". It matches the Rfam family "Bacterial small subunit ribosomal RNA", at positions 335 to 524 of the family's 1533-position model. The record is from RNAcentral. Lineage: Bacteria; Pseudomonadati; Nitrospirota; Nitrospiria; Nitrospirales; Nitrospiraceae.